AUUAAAAUAUUUAAUAUGGGUUUUAUAUUAUUUAAAUUAUAUUUAUUUUAUUUAAAUAUUUUGUAAUAAAUUAGAAAUAUUAAUUAGUUUAGAUUUAAUUAAGUGUAAAUAAUAAUUAAUUUAAGUUUUUUAGUGAUACAAAAAUAAGUUAAAUUAAUUUAUUACUUAAUUUUAUUAUAAUAAUUAAUAAUUAAAUUUAAUUGUAAUUUAUUGUUUAAUUAAUAUAAAAUAUAAAUUUAAUUUAAUUUAGAAAUUAAGAUUAAUUAAUUAUAAAUAAUUAUUUAAUAAUUAAAUUGAAUUUAAAGUUUUAUAAAUUUGUAUUUUAAUUAAAUUUAGUUAGAUGUAUAAAAUUUAAUAAUAAAAAAUUUAAGUUUUUUAUUAAUUAUAAUAUUAAUUGUUUUUAAAAAUUGAUUUAUUUAAGCAAAAUUGUUUUUUUAAGAUUAAAAGUAAUAUUAAUAAAUUAUUAUUUUUUUUGAUUGAAAAAUAUGAUUGGUUUAUUAAUUAAAUUUAUUAAUAUAUUAGAUAAUGUAAAAUAAAUUAAAAAUUUAUAUUUUUAAUGAUUUAAUUAGUAAUUAAAAAUUUUUUAAGACGAAAAUUUUAUUAAAUAAACUAGACAUAUUGUAUUGUCUAAUUGUUUAUUAAAAACGUAUUAAUAAGAUUGUAUAAAUAGUUUUAAUAUAUUAUUUAAUUUAUUAUUUAUUCUGCUCAAUGAAUUUAAUAUAUUUAAAUAGCUGCAAUAAUUUGAUUGUACAAAGGUAGCAUAAUAAUUUGUAUUUUAAUUGGAUACUUGAAUGAAUGAAUAAAUAAGAUAAUGAUUUUAUUUAAUAAUUGAUAUUAAGUUUAAAUUAAAUUGAAAAUUAUUUAAUAAAAUUGAUAGACGAAAAGACCCUAAAAAUUUUAUUAAUUCAUAUUAGUUUAAUAUGUAUUUAAUUUUAUUGGGGUAAUAAAUCAAAAUAUUUUUGAUUUUAAAAUAUUUAAAAUUAUUUAAAUAUUAAUUAAAUAAUAAAUUUAUAUUAAUUACUUUAGGGAUAACAGGAUAAUAGUUUUUAUUAGAAUAAAUAAUAAAGUCUGGUUGUUACCUCGAUGUUGAAUUAAUUGAUGAAAAAUUAAUAGUAAAAUUUUUGUUUAGUUUGUUCAACUUUAAUUAAUUACAUGAUUUGAGUUUAGACCGAUGUGAAUUAGGUUGGAUUUUAUCUUCAAAAUUUUAUAUAAAUUUUUUAGUACGAAAGGAUUUGAA
This 1237-nucleotide ribosomal RNA is filed under the name Aclerda takahashii. Its description in RNAcentral is "16S ribosomal RNA". The record is from RNAcentral. Lineage: Eukaryota; Metazoa; Arthropoda; Insecta; Hemiptera; Aclerdidae.